Molecule: transfer RNA, 72 nt
Filed under: Odocoileus virginianus texanus
Lineage: Eukaryota; Metazoa; Chordata; Mammalia; Artiodactyla; Cervidae
Also listed under: 5 other names
Rfam family: tRNA
About the family: Transfer RNA (tRNA) molecules are approximately 80 nucleotides in length. Their secondary structure includes four short double-helical elements and three loops (D, anti-codon, and T loops). Further hydrogen bonds mediate the characteristic L-shaped molecular structure. tRNAs have two regions of fundamental functional importance: the anti-codon, which is responsible for specific mRNA codon recognition, and the 3' end, to which the tRNAs corresponding amino acid is attached (by aminoacyl-tRNA synthetases). tRNAs cope with the degeneracy of the genetic code in two manners: having more than one tRNA (with a specific anti-codon) for a particular amino acid; and 'wobble' base-pairing, i.e. permitting non-standard base-pairing at the 3rd anti-codon position.
Source: Rfam by way of RNAcentral
UCCCUGGUGGCUCAGAGGUUAAAGCGUCUGCCUGCAAUGCGGGAGACCUGGGUUCAGUCCCUGGGUUGGGAA